Molecule: ribosomal RNA, 216 nt
Filed under: Triticum aestivum (bread wheat)
Lineage: Eukaryota; Viridiplantae; Streptophyta; Magnoliopsida; Poales; Poaceae
Description: partial small subunit ribosomal RNA
Source: RNAcentral
AUGGACCAUGAGAUUCCAUACAAUAGGUCCUAUGCGUGGGACUCGAAGGAUGAAGGCCCGGAUGAAGAAAUAGAUGAGGAUGGUUUGACGGCUAAAGAAGCCAAUGCUUUCAAGAAGGUAAUAGGCCGUAGUCACAAGACAUCAUUGUUUCGCGAUCUAAGCCUAGCCGAUAAGGCGAUUGUUGAUGGUGGCACAAGUAAAAUUCUUGCACCAAGG